GACGAACGCUGGCGGCGUGCUUAACACAUGCAAGUCGAGCGGUAAGGCCCUUUCAGGGGUACACGAGCGGCGAACGGGUGAGUAACACGUGGGUGACCUGCCCUUAGCUCUGGGAUAAGCCUGGGAAACUGGGUCUAAUACCGGAUAUGACUCCAUGACGCAUGUUGUGGGGUGGAAAGCCUUGUGCGGCUAGGGGAUGGGCCCGCGGCCUAUCAGCUUGUUGGUGGGGUGAGGCCUACCAAGGCGACGACGGGUAGCCGGCCUGAGAGGGCGACCGGCCACACUGGGACUGAGACACGGCCCAGACUCCUACGGGAGGCAGCAGUGGGGAAUCUUGCGCAAUGGGCGAAAGCCUGACGCAGCGACGCCGCGUGAGGGAUGACGGCCU
Molecule: ribosomal RNA, 388 nt
Filed under: uncultured bacterium
Lineage: Bacteria
Description: bacterial SSU rRNA
Rfam family: Bacterial small subunit ribosomal RNA
Source: RNAcentral